UUUCUCUCUCUCUUCGAAAAUCAACCAAACCCUGGCCAGGUAGCUCAGUGGGUUAGAAGUGUCAUCCUGAUGUGCUGAGAUUGUGGGUUUGAAUCCCAGUUAGGGCACAUGAAAAAAUCAACUGAUGAAUGUAUAAAUAAGUGGAAC
This is a long non-coding RNA of Phyllostomus discolor (pale spear-nosed bat), 147 nucleotides long. RefSeq lists it as uncharacterized. The record is from RefSeq and is a predicted model, not a curated record. The transcript is spliced from 3 exons. NCBI's taxonomy places the organism in Eukaryota, Metazoa, Chordata, Mammalia, Chiroptera, Phyllostomidae.